AGCUCCAAUAGCGUAUAUUAAAGUUGUUGCAGUUAAAAAGCUCGUAGUUGGAUUUCUGGCAGGGGUUGAGAGCCCGCACGCAGCGUGUGCUUUAUAACCCCUACCAUCCUUCUGUUAAACUGUCGGGUCUUCACCGACCCGGCAGCGGCUCAGAUAAUUUACCUUGAGAAAAUUAGAGUGUUUCAGGCAGGCCGACGCCGGGAUACAUUAGCAUGGAAUAAUAGAAUAGGACUGUCGCCUCUUCUGUUGGUCUGAGGGGUGGCCGUAAUGAUUAAUAGGGAUAGUUGGGGGCAUUAGUACUUAACUGUCAGAGGUGAAAUUCUCGGAUUUGUUAAAGACUAACUUAUGCGAAAGCAUUUGCCAAGGAUGUUUUCAUUA
This 378-nucleotide ribosomal RNA is filed under the name Amphorellopsis sp. Its description in RNAcentral is "partial small subunit ribosomal RNA". It matches the Rfam family "Eukaryotic small subunit ribosomal RNA", at positions 587 to 975 of the family's 1831-position model. The record is from RNAcentral. Lineage: Eukaryota; Ciliophora; Spirotrichea; Tintinnida; Tintinnidae.